CACAGAGAAGUCAUGAACUCAAGGUGCAGAAUGAAGCUGGUAUCUUCGAAUCCCCAAUGCAAGAAAGUUGAUGAGAAGCCAUGGCUUGCAAAGCCAGUAGAGAAGACUCAGAGAAGCCAGUGAAAGAAACUGAUGCUGCUUACAGAAGACAGAACCAAGAAACUGAGGGAGAUGAGAAGUCAGAAAAGAAGUUGAAGAAGAUACGAUGAUAAGACAAUAGGACAGCUAAUAGUUGCUUCUUGGGAACAAGCAGGCUGUUCUUUUGAGGAAGGAUAUGACCUGAUGGGAGAAAAACUGAUACUGGAAGUUGAUUGAAGAAGACAACAUCCUAAGCGCUAGGAUAAGAGCUGGUUGCUUGAGGGGAUAUCCCCUCAAAGUCUAUAAGAAGAAAAUAUGAAUAAUUUUGCAGAUGCCAGGAUUGAAGAAAUUGCUUUUCACUGAAAGAGUGUCAGCUGAUAACUUUCUGCUUAGGUACAGGCAGGCUCUUCACUGGAUGAAAGGAUCUGACCUGACUGGAGCAAAAUUGUGAUACUGCUGUACUCUAGGAAUAAAAGCUGUUUUCAAACAGGCAAGUUGGCUUCUUAGCACCAUCUAUAAUUAAAAGAGGGGAAAUCACCCUCUCCCUCAGAGGCUUGCCUAUGUCAUCCUUUAUUUCCUUCUGUAGCUUAAGAGGGAAAAUCCCUUCAAAGCUGUAGGCUCCCUAUAGGGAUGCAACUUAAAUCUAAGGGCAAUAUCAGACAUCACCUGAGUGAUGUCAUGGGACCUCUUGUAACAAGAAAUCUGAAUAGUCUUGCAGAUUCCAGGAUUAAAAAGAACCUCUU
Molecule: non-coding RNA, 821 nt
Organism: Phascolarctos cinereus (koala)
Lineage: Eukaryota; Metazoa; Chordata; Mammalia; Diprotodontia; Phascolarctidae
Source: RefSeq, a predicted model, not a curated record